RNAcentral lists this ribosomal RNA (253 nucleotides) under uncultured bacterium. RNAcentral describes it as "partial 16S ribosomal RNA". It matches the Rfam family "Bacterial small subunit ribosomal RNA", at positions 524 to 776 of the family's 1533-position model. The record is from RNAcentral.
UACAGAGGUCUCAAGCGUUGUUCGGAAUCACUGGGCGUAAAGGGUGCGUAGGCGGCGGGGACAGUCAGAUGUGAAAUCCGGAGGCUCAACCUCCGAAUUGCAUCCGAUACUCCCUCGCUAGAGAUUUGUAGAGGAGCUUGGAAUUCUCGGUGUAGCAGUGAAAUGCGUAGAUAUCGAGAAGAACGCUCGCAGCGAAGGCGAAGCUCUGGGCAAAUUCUGACGCUGAUGCACGAAGGCUAGGGGAGCAAACGGG